CCUCUGUAAGUCACCUAAGUUGCUGACUGCUUGAUGAAUAUCACUUUGAAGAUCAUCCAGUAAAGCCUCAUGAUUUUGAAUGACUUCGAACAUUUCUCUGGAAUCCACUGAUGUUGACACUAGUCACAAGAUUGAAAAAACAAAGUCAUGCAACGGAGUGCAGCGACCAGGCGACAGUUACCUGAACGUUCUGGUGGCACCAACAGUGAAUGAUGAGAUGAUGAUGGAGGAGCUGCUAUUGGCUUCUAUGUAUGUCACCAGCCGGGACUGCGUGAAGGAACACCAGUUCCUAGCGGAAGAAAGACGUGGG
This is a long non-coding RNA of Chiroxiphia lanceolata (lance-tailed manakin), 310 nucleotides long. RefSeq lists it as uncharacterized. NCBI's taxonomy places the organism in Eukaryota, Metazoa, Chordata, Aves, Passeriformes, Pipridae. The record is from RefSeq and is a predicted model, not a curated record. The transcript has 3 exons.